This 253-nucleotide ribosomal RNA is filed under the name uncultured prokaryote. RNAcentral's name for it is "partial 16S ribosomal RNA". It matches the Rfam family "Bacterial small subunit ribosomal RNA", at positions 524 to 776 of the family's 1533-position model. The record is from RNAcentral.
UACGAAGGGGGCUAGCGUUGCUCGGAAUCACUGGGCGUAAAGGGUGCGUAGGCGGGUCUUUAAGUCAGGGGUGAAAUCCUGGAGCUCAACUCCAGAACUGCCUUUGAUACUGAAGAUCUUGAAUAUCGUGGAGGUAAGCGGAAUAUGUCAUGUAGCGGUGAAAUGCUUAGAUAUGACAUAGAACACCAAUUGCGAAGGCAGCUUACUACACGAUCAUUGACACUGAGGCACGAAAGCGUGGGGAGCAAACGGG